UGUGUCAUUUGGUUCGGCCAUGUAGCGCCUGCGUCGAUAUGAAGUUGAAUUGGAGGAUGCCGGUGUAGUGUUAGCCUCAGUUCAACUUCAUAUCGACUCAGGCACUACAUUACCUAACCAAAUGACACA
Non-coding RNA from Xyrichtys novacula (pearly razorfish), 129 nucleotides. The record is from the annotation of a GenBank genome assembly. NCBI's taxonomy places the organism in Eukaryota, Metazoa, Chordata, Actinopteri, Labriformes, Labridae.